RNAcentral lists this transfer RNA (85 nucleotides) under Pseudomonadales bacterium. RNAcentral describes it as "tRNA-Leu". It matches the Rfam family "tRNA". From Rfam's summary of the family: Transfer RNA (tRNA) molecules are approximately 80 nucleotides in length. Lineage: Bacteria; Pseudomonadati; Pseudomonadota; Gammaproteobacteria; Pseudomonadales. The record is from RNAcentral. RNAcentral also lists the same sequence under 1 other name.
GCCCGGGUGAUGAAAUUGGUAGACAUGCGUGGUUUAGGUCCACGUGCCGAAAGGUGUGUCGGUUCGAGUCCGACCCCGGGCACCA